This 759-nucleotide ribosomal RNA is filed under the name Parahaemophilus parainfluenzae. RNAcentral describes it as "Haemophilus parainfluenzae bacterial SSU rRNA". It matches the Rfam family "Bacterial small subunit ribosomal RNA", at positions 28 to 776 of the family's 1533-position model. The record is from RNAcentral. Lineage: Bacteria; Pseudomonadati; Pseudomonadota; Gammaproteobacteria; Pasteurellales; Pasteurellaceae.
AUUGAACGCUGGCGGCAGGCUUAACACAUGCAAGUCGAACGGUAACAUAAAGAAGCUUGCUUCUUUGAUGACGAGUGGCGGACGGGUGAGUAAUGCUUGGGAAUCUAGCUUAUGGAGGGGGAUAACUACGGGAAACUGUAGCUAAUACCGCGUAGAAUCGGGAGAUGAAAGUGUGGGACCUUCGGGCCACAUGCCAUAGGAUGAGCCCAAAUGGGAUUAGGUAGUUGGUGAGGUAAAGGCUCACCAAGCCGACGAUCUCUAGCUGGUCUGAGAGGAUGACCAGCCACACUGGGACUGAGACACGGCCCAGACUCCUACGGGAGGCAGCAGUGGGGAAUAUUGCGCAAUGGGGGCAACCCUGACGCAGCCAUGCCGCGUGAAUGAAGAAGGCCUUCGGGUUGUAAAGUUCUUUCGGUAGCGAGGAAGGCAUUUAGUUUAAUAAACUGGAUGAUUGACGUUAACUACAGAAGAAGCACCGGCUAACUCCGUGCCAGCAGCCGCGGUAAUACGGAGGGUGCGAGCGUUAAUCGGAAUAACUGAGCGUAAAGGGCACGCAGGCGGUGACUUAAGUGAGGUGUGAAAGCCCCGGGCUUAACCUGGGAAUUGCAUUUCAUACUGGGUCGCUAGAGUACUUUAGGGAGGGGUAGAAUUCCACGUGUAGCGGUGAAAUGCGUAGAGAUGUGGAGGAAUACCGAAGGCGAAGGCAGCCCCUUGGGAAUGUACUGACGCUCAUGUGCGAAAGCGUGGGGAGCAAACAGG